Molecule: ribosomal RNA, 434 nt
Filed under: uncultured Glomus
Lineage: Eukaryota; Fungi; Glomeromycota; Glomeromycetes; Glomerales; Glomeraceae
Description: SSU rRNA
Rfam family: Eukaryotic small subunit ribosomal RNA
Source: RNAcentral
GCGUAUAUUAAGUUGUUGCAGUUAAAAAGCUCGUAGUUGAAUUUCGGGGUCAGCAGGUUGGUCGUGCCACUGGUAUGAACUGGUUUCGCUGAUUCCUCCUUUCUGAAGAACUGUAAUGUCAUUAAUUUGGUGUUGCAGGGAAACAGGACUGUUACUUUGAAAAAAUUAGAGUGUUUAAAGCAGGCUAACGCUUGAAUACAUUAGCAUGGAAUAAUGAAAUAGGACGUUCAAUCCUAUUUUGUUGGUUUCUAGGAUUGACGUAAUGAUUAAUAGGGAUAGUUGGGGGCAUUAGUAUUCAAUUGUCAGAGGUGAAAUUCUUGGAUUUAUUGAAGACUAACUACUGCGAAAGCAUUUGCCAAGGAUGUUUUCAUUAAUCAAGAACGAAAGUUAGGGGAUCGAAGACGAUCAGAUACCGUCGUAGUCUUAACCAUAAA